UACGGGGGGGGGCAAGCGUUGUUCGGAAUUACUGGGCGUAAAGCGCACGUAGGCGGAUUUGUAAGUCAGGGGUGAAAUCCCGGGGCUCAACCUCGGAACUGCCUUUGAUACUGCAAAUCUCGAGUCCGGAAGAGGUGAGUGGAAUUCCUAGUGUAGAGGUGAAAUUCGUAGAUAUUAGGAAGAACACCAGUGGCGAAGGCGGCUCACUGGUCCGGUACUGACGCUGAGGUGCGAAAGCGUGGGGAGCAACAGG
RNAcentral lists this ribosomal RNA (253 nucleotides) under uncultured bacterium. RNAcentral describes it as "partial 16S ribosomal RNA". It matches the Rfam family "Bacterial small subunit ribosomal RNA", at positions 524 to 775 of the family's 1533-position model. The record is from RNAcentral.